RNAcentral lists this microRNA (23 nucleotides) under Sarcophilus harrisii (Tasmanian devil). Its description in RNAcentral is "Sha-Mir-12466_5p* (star (passenger))". The record is from RNAcentral. Lineage: Eukaryota; Metazoa; Chordata; Mammalia; Dasyuromorphia; Dasyuridae. RNAcentral also lists the same sequence under 2 other names.
AGGUUUCCUCAUCCGGGAAUUUC